UCAUAUAUUCAUAUAUAUCUUUCAUAUUGUUACAGUGCGUGUAUUUAUACCGCAUAUAGACUACUCUUGGUUAUGUUGUAUUGGUUACCCAUAAGUGACUGGUCGUUAGCUUUUGACAUUAAAGCACUCAAUCAGUCUAACGAUCGGUCUAGCUGUAUGCUAGCUUAGGUGUAAUGUCAGCUUGGAUGUUAGUUUGUCUGGUUGCCUUCCCUUCCAUAAUUGUAACAACUGGUUGGGUACGGUCUGGCUAUCGGAUGUAUAAACUAAUGUUUCUCUUGUUACUUGCGAAUACUGUAUUUACUACCGUGGUCUUUUUAGAUUCCACACUCUAUGCCUGCUUUGGUCUAUCCAUCGCUACGUAUAGGUAAGCGCCUUAAGGAAGAAGCUUACAAAUGUAUAACUCCAUGUGGUGGAUCACUCGGCUCACGUAUCGAUGAAGAGUGCAGCAAACUGUGUUAAACAAUGUGAAACGCAGACUGCUUCGAACAUCGGUAUCUCGAACGCAAAUGGCAGCUUAGCGCCGUGCGCUUAGCUACGUUUGAUCGAGUGUCGGCUUAAACCUAUCGUGACGCUUAAUUGUUCACGGAUUGGGAAGCUUACCAUGGCUAAAUGAUUUCCAGUCAUGCAUAUCACGGUCUGAACGGAUUGCAUGAUAGGAGUUAGCUCUAGUGGUUCUUCCUUAAUUAUUAAGUACUAUUGUGAUAUAGUGUUAACAACUCUACGCUUCUUUAUGAGUGUGGCUUAGUGUUCUAGGUAUGCUUAUAAUUACAGUAUAGAGGUUCCUACUUGCUUGGAAUGUUAACAACCAUUAACCCUGUAUAUUCGAUGUGGCUUGGUUUCGACCUUGUAACGUCAGAUACUCUGUUAUGGACUAGAUUCACGUGCU
RNAcentral lists this unclassified non-coding RNA (886 nucleotides) under Laminiscus gussevi. Its description in RNAcentral is "sequence contains ITS1, 5.8S rRNA gene and ITS2". The stretch from base 399 to 552 matches the Rfam family "5.8S ribosomal RNA". Lineage: Eukaryota; Metazoa; Platyhelminthes; Monogenea; Gyrodactylidea; Gyrodactylidae. The record is from RNAcentral.